RNAcentral lists this ribosomal RNA (283 nucleotides) under Klebsiella pneumoniae. Its description in RNAcentral is "partial 16S ribosomal RNA". It matches the Rfam family "Bacterial small subunit ribosomal RNA", at positions 466 to 748 of the family's 1533-position model. Lineage: Bacteria; Pseudomonadati; Pseudomonadota; Gammaproteobacteria; Enterobacterales; Enterobacteriaceae. The record is from RNAcentral.
CGAUUGACGUUACCCGCAGAAGAAGCACCGGCUAACUCCGUGCCAGCAGCCGCGGUAAUACGGAGGGUGCAAGCGUUAAUCGGAAUUACUGGGCGUAAAGCGCACGCAGGCGGUCUGUCAAGUCGGAUGUGAAAUCCCCGGGCUCAACCUGGGAACUGCAUUCGAAACUGGCAGGCUAGAGUCUUGUAGAGGGGGGUAGAAUUCCAGGUGUAGCGGUGAAAUGCGUAGAGAUCUGGAGGAAUACCGGUGGCGAAGGCGGCCCCCUGGACAAAGACUGACGCUC